Molecule: long non-coding RNA, 310 nt
Filed under: Volvox carteri
Lineage: Eukaryota; Viridiplantae; Chlorophyta; Chlorophyceae; Chlamydomonadales; Volvocaceae
Description: long non-coding RNA (VCAR_LNC003336)
Source: RNAcentral
UUCGCGUGGCAGUCGGGUCUUUGUACCUAACCGUCUCGCCAUACGUUUUGCCGUCCUUGACUGAUGCUGCUCCUUUUAUUCUGGGGUCUGAUACUUUGCGUAAGCACUCUGCAUCCCUGGAUUUUCAGAACAAUAUUUUGCGUUUGUCAAAGGGUACUGUUCGGUACUCGAUUCCUUGGCGCGCGUCUUCUAAGGAUUCAGGUGACAGUGGUGCUGCCUCGUCGGCGCCCCUUGUUAAUUUUGCGGCUGCGGCCAUGUGUGCUCGAUACCACUUGUUGUAUCCACCUCCACUGUUUAGGUGGUAGUGAAA